UACGUAGGGUGCGAGCGUUGUCCGGAAUUAUUGGGCGUAAAGAGCUUGUAGGUGGUUUGUCGCGUCUGCUGUGAAAAUCCGAGGCUCAACCUCGGACUUGCAGUGGGUACGGGCAGACUAGAGUGUGGUAGGGGGAGACUGGAAUUCCGUGGUGUAGCGGUGGAAUGCGCAGAUAUCAGGAGGAACACCGAUGGCGAAGGCAGGUC
RNAcentral lists this ribosomal RNA (206 nucleotides) under uncultured bacterium. RNAcentral's name for it is "partial 16S ribosomal RNA". It matches the Rfam family "Bacterial small subunit ribosomal RNA", at positions 524 to 727 of the family's 1533-position model. The record is from RNAcentral.